GCUGACAGCUGCUCUGCUGCAAAAGCCUGCUGUCCUUACUAAAAAAUGACCAGUGCUAGCCGAAACCUAGGGAAAAACUUUCUGUGUUUUUAAGCCUGGGUUGUUUCUGCAGACUUGCAUGUUAUUGAAACACCUAUGCCUGAGGGGCUAAAUGAAGGUUAUGGGUCUUCAGGAAUUGAUAACAAGUGUGAGAGGGUCUGAACCAGAAAAGUUGCCUCAUUCUACAGAAAGACUUCAAAGGGUUAAACCAGAAAAGCUGCCUCAUUUACAAAAAGACUGCAAAGGUUCCGCUCUUUUGUGGAUGAGCUGCAAGCAAGCAAGAGAGAAGACAGCUAAAGCAUUGGUGGCAGGAGUCUCAUGCCAAGGUUGACCGGUUGCAGAUGAAAGAUUUGUUAAACUCUUAUGCUUAUGAGUUGGACCUAGCAAAGGACAUAAAAGGCAAUAAGCAGGAGUUCUUUAAAUACACCAGGAGCAAGAAAAAGAUGAAGGAAAGCCUAUGUCCUCUAUCUAGCAGAGAAGGAGAACUAAUAACCAAUUGACAUUGAGAAAACUGAGGUGUUUAAUGCCUAUUUUGCUUCAGUCAUCAUUGAAAAGGUUAAGGGGUUCCAGAUACUCAACACAAGUAAUAUGAACAAUAAGAUCGAAGGAAUAGAAGCCAAAAUAGGGAAAGGAUAGAUUACAGAAUAUUUAGAUACAUUAGAUGCAUUAAAGUCAGCAGAGCCUGAUUAAAUUUAUCCUAAGGUACUUAAGGAACAAGCUGAAGCAAUCUCAGAAUUGCUAGGUAUCUUGGAGAACUCAUGGAGGACGAGUGAUGUUAUUUUACUGGAAUGCUGUUGACCAGUGUCUGCAACUAGUACUGCACUGUAGCAGAUCCUACAUUAAUGAGUACUGUACAAGAACCUAUAUAUUUAAAAUAAUAAUAUUGCUGGAGGUCCAUGCCUCGCCAACAGGUUUCAGAUACAUUAUUUCAGCACUGGAAGUUGUGUUUGACAGCCUGGUGAUCUCCAAAAAGCUAGAUAAAUAGUAAUUAAUACACAGUUUUUUCCACCAAAAUGAAAUAAUCUGAUCCCGUCUUUUCCUGGGGAUGUACAGGCACUAUACUUGCUGGUAUGAAUUCCUUUGGUUGGAUGCAGUGAUAUUUAAGAUAUAUACUGCAAUCUCCUAUAAUUGGCUCAAUGUCUUUGUUCAUAUUUGACUAGCAAUAAAGAUUUAUGAA
Molecule: long non-coding RNA, 1216 nt
Organism: Gopherus evgoodei (Goodes thornscrub tortoise)
Lineage: Eukaryota; Metazoa; Chordata; Testudines; Testudinidae
Source: Ensembl